Molecule: ribosomal RNA, 1445 nt
Filed under: Limosilactobacillus fermentum
Lineage: Bacteria; Bacillati; Bacillota; Bacilli; Lactobacillales; Lactobacillaceae
Description: bacterial SSU rRNA
Rfam family: Bacterial small subunit ribosomal RNA
Source: RNAcentral
AUACAUGCAGUCGAACGCGUUGGCCCAAUUGAUUGAUGGUGCUUGCACCUGAUUGAUUUUGGUCGCCAACGAGUGGCGGACGGGUGAGUAACACGUAGGUAACCUGCCCAGAAGCGGGGGACAACAUUUGGAAACAGAUGCUAAUACCGCAUAACAGCGUUGUUCGCAUGAACAACGCUUAAAAGAUGGCUUCUCGCUAUCACUUCUGGAUGGACCUGCGGUGCAUUAGCUUGUUGGUGGGGUAACGGCCUACCAAGGCGAUGAUGCAUAGCCGAGUUGAGAGACUGAUCGGCCACAAUGGGACUGAGACACGGCCCAUACUCCUACGGGAGGCAGCAGUAGGGAAUCUUCCACAAUGGGCGCAAGCCUGAUGGAGCAACACCGCGUGAGUGAAGAAGGGUUUCGGCUCGUAAAGCUCUGUUGUUAAAGAAGAACACGUAUGAGAGUAACUGUUCAUACGUUGACGGUAUUUAACCAGAAAGUCACGGCUAACUACGUGCCAGCAGCCGCGGUAAUACGUAGGUGGCAAGCGUUAUCCGGAUUUAUUGGGCGUAAAGAGAGUGCAGGCGGUUUUCUAAGUCUGAUGUGAAAGCCUUCGGCUUAACCGGAGAAGUGCAUCGGAAACUGGAUAACUUGAGUGCAGAAGAGGGUAGUGGAACUCCAUGUGUAGCGGUGGAAUGCGUAGAUAUAUGGAAGAACACCAGUGGCGAAGGCGGCUACCUGGUCUGCAACUGACGCUGAGACUCGAAAGCAUGGGUAGCGAACAGGAUUAGAUACCCUGGUAGUCCAUGCCGUAAACGAUGAGUGCUAGGUGUUGGAGGGUUUCCGCCCUUCAGUGCCGGAGCUAACGCAUUAAGCACUCCGCCUGGGGAGUACGACCGCAAGGUUGAAACUCAAAGGAAUUGACGGGGGCCCGCACAAGCGGUGGAGCAUGUGGUUUAAUUCGAAGCUACGCGAAGAACCUUACCAGGUCUUGACAUCUUGCGCCAACCCUAGAGAUAGGGCGUUUCCUUCGGGAACGCAAUGACAGGUGGUGCAUGGUCGUCGUCAGCUCGUGUCGUGAGAUGUUGGGUUAAGUCCCGCAACGAGCGCAACCCUUGUUACUAGUUGCCAGCAUUAAGUUGGGCACUCUAGUGAGACUGCCGGUGACAAACCGGAGGAAGGUGGGGACGACGUCAGAUCAUCAUGCCCCUUAUGACCUGGGCUACACACGUGCUACAAUGGACGGUACAACGAGUCGCGAACUCGCGAGGGCAAGCAAAUCUCUUAAAACCGUUCUCAGUUCGGACUGCAGGCUGCAACUCGCCUGCACGAAGUCGGAAUCGCUAGUAAUCGCGGAUCAGCAUGCCGCGGUGAAUACGUUCCCGGGCCUUGUACACACCGCCCGUCACACCAUGAGAGUUUGUAACACCCAAAGUCGGUGGGGUAACCUUUUAGGAGCCAGC